This 468-nucleotide ribosomal RNA is filed under the name uncultured bacterium. RNAcentral's name for it is "partial 16S ribosomal RNA". It matches the Rfam family "Bacterial small subunit ribosomal RNA", at positions 28 to 507 of the family's 1533-position model. The record is from RNAcentral.
GACGAACGCUGGCGGCGUGCUUAACACAUGCAAGUCGAACGGAAAGGCCCUGCUUUUGUGGGGGGCUCGAGUGGCGAACGGGUGAGUAACACGGGAGUAACCUGCCCUUGACUUUGGGAUAACUUCAGGAAACUGGGGCUAAUACCGGAUAGGAGCUCCUGCUGCAUGGUGGGGGUUGGAAAGUUUCGGCGGUUGGGGAUGGACUCGCGGCUUAUCAGCUUGUUGGUGGGGUAGUGGCUUACCAAGGCUUUGACGGGUAGCCGGCCUGAGAGGGUGACCGGCCACAUUGGGACUGAGAUACGGCCCAGACUCCUACGGGAGGCAGCAGUGGGGAAUAUUGCACAAUGGGCGGAAGCCUGAUGCAGCAACGCCGCGUGCGGGAUGACGGCCUUCGGGUUGUAAACCGCUUUCGCCUGUGACGAAGCGUGAGUGACGGUAAUGGGUAAAGAAGCACCGGCUAACUACGUG